AAUGAUUGCGUUUAAUCUUUUGGCAGCACUCAUGGAAAACAAAAGGUUACAUUCGAGAUGGUGAUGGACGUGAUUGUCAAUAUCCAACAGCAAUAUAACUUAGCUAGUCAUUAUGUAUGAAGACAAAAACAAGUUCCCACUCGAGGACAGGACUGCCCCAUCUUAUAUACAGGUAAAAGCAUCACCCAUUUCGCAUUCCUGAUUCAUAUGUUUGAUUAAAUGAACAUUAGGUUGAAUUCACAGAUGUAUUUCAGAUCACAGUUUCAUUGGUUUAUCUUUUAGUUUAUACAACCGUAUUUAUUAUUUGUUCAUCUUGGAUGCCUGAUAACAAUUUAUUAUUGCGGCAAAGCCUCAAUGGGAAAUAUCUGUGUAGUCCAAGGACUUCUGAGGGAAAUAGAACAAGCCAUAUUCAAAAGUUUAUGUUUGAGACAGACACAUUAUUUUUCUGAUUAGGUCAUGAGAAUGAAUAUGGUAGUAUAUAUAGACCAGUUAACCAAAAUCAGUAAAUUAAAAAAGUUAACAGUGUAUUAACAAUAUUCAUGACUUAACUGAUAAUGCCUCGGUGCUCCUAAUGUGAAUAUUAACAAGCUACGCAACUUACCCCUUUGAGCAACCAAUUUGAAUCCAGAAAUUCACAAUUGCAUCAGAUGUGAAAAGGAGAAGAUUUUGCAUCGAAAUAGCAUUCAACUACAGAGAAAUACAAUAUCAUUUGUAUGGCCAGUCUUGGUUUGAUUCCCUUCUUGAGAGACAAUAAAGAUUAACAUUGACAGAAAUCACACACAGAUUCCAAUCUCAAGGAAGCUGAGAUCUUCCAGUUCCCCCAUAUCCCAACAUCCUGAUAAUCUAUUUUCCAUGAAAACAUACUGCAGCUCAACUUGAUCCCCUCAGUUAUUCCAUUCCAAAUCAAAUCUUAUCAACAAUUUGGAUGGUUUAUCA
This 936-nucleotide long non-coding RNA is filed under the name Vigna radiata. RNAcentral's name for it is "long non-coding RNA (VRAD_LNC010724)". The record is from RNAcentral. Lineage: Eukaryota; Viridiplantae; Streptophyta; Magnoliopsida; Fabales; Fabaceae.